RNAcentral lists this non-coding RNA (24 nucleotides) under Rattus norvegicus (Norway rat). The record is from RNAcentral. Lineage: Eukaryota; Metazoa; Chordata; Mammalia; Rodentia; Muridae.
UGCCUCCUAUGGUAUGAGCGCCCU